CCCUUAGAUGUCCUGGGCCGCACGCGCGCUACACUGAACGGAUCAGCGCGUUUUCCCUUCCCGAGAGGGACGGGUAACCUGCUGAACCCCGUUCGUGGUAGGGAUCGGGGCUUGCAAUUAUUCCCCGUGAACCAGGAAUGCCCAGUAAGUGCAAGUCAUAAGCUUGCGUUGAUUACGUCCCUGCCCUUUGUACACACCGCCCGUCGCUACUACCGAUUGAACGUUUUAGUGAGGCACUCGGACUGAGCCUCAGAAGAUUCACGUCUUUUGUGCUGCUCGGGAAGAUUCCCAAACUUGAGCGUUUAGAGGAAGUAAAAGUCGUAACA
This 326-nucleotide ribosomal RNA is filed under the name uncultured eukaryote. RNAcentral describes it as "partial 18S ribosomal RNA". It matches the Rfam family "Eukaryotic small subunit ribosomal RNA", at positions 1470 to 1796 of the family's 1831-position model. The record is from RNAcentral.